UCCCAGGUGGCUCAGAUGGUAAAGAAUCUGCCUGCAAUGCAGGAGUCCCAGGUUCAAUCCCUGGAUUGGGAA
Molecule: transfer RNA, 72 nt
Filed under: Ovis aries (sheep)
Lineage: Eukaryota; Metazoa; Chordata; Mammalia; Artiodactyla; Bovidae
Rfam family: tRNA
About the family: Transfer RNA (tRNA) molecules are approximately 80 nucleotides in length.
Source: Rfam by way of RNAcentral